UGGCUCGUGGCUUUAAUCUCUGCAUAACAUCAAAGAGCUGUUUGGCAGCAGACGUUGCAGAAUAAUUACUGCAAAUUUAGUGGUGGGGUUCAAAAAUGGGUAAAAACCUCUCAAGGUCAGCUAGCGUCAACGGUCCUAACUGCUAACAAAUGAGCUAAAGCUUGUAGCCAGAAAUGACUGAUGUGGACCCGUUAGCCUGCCGCUAGUAGCCGCUAACAUCAAAGAAAUAGUAAAAAAAAAAAAGCAAAGGGAGUGUGUUGGGAGCGUUCUGAGGAAUGAGAGGAAGAUGUGGCCAAAAUGGUUCUGUGUCAUCAGAAACGGACCCACGGGCUGGUACCAGGUGUUGGUACCGGUGGGCGGAGCCGCGGCCGUGAAACUGACACUCUGUGAUCGUCCUCAGGAAAAUCACCUGUUGUCUUCACCCGAGACGUCCUGACAGGACCCGCCGUCCACUGUCAACGGGAUGUCCCAAGAUUCCCAACCAUUUUUCCAGACGUGUCCACAUAUAAACCAGCUGUCCCUGAACGCACCACCGCUCCGAUCUCUUCUUAUCUGGCUGCUGUUUUCAACAACAUCAACCUUGUUUUCCACCCAGAGUUUCGAUCAAUUGACCUUUUUCUCCCUGGGUGACCCCAGAUGCCCCCACCACACACACACACACACACACACACACACACACACACACACACACACACACACGCGCGCGCACACACACACACACACACACAAGCACACCAUGUCUUUGUCAAUGACGAUGACGUCCAUAUGUUUAUGUACCAAUGCUGCAUCGAGGGGGGUGAUGGGAGGACUGGAGGAAGGUGAAGAAGCAAAGCUGUUGUGUUUUCGUCGCUUCUUUCGCAGUGAGCAGCCGAGGAGGAGGAGGAGGUGGAGGAGGAGGAGGAGGAGGAGGAGGAGGAGGAGACGCUUGUCCCCCUGGAGGACAGGAGACAAAUGAGUUUCCUUGCGGGUCCCAGCUGAAUGCAGGCGAAGACAAGGUACAGCCCUGGACAAGUCGCCAGCUCAUAUCAUUUGGGUGUUUGGUACCUUGCUCAAGGGCACCACGGCAGCACCCUGCUACCGGGGCUUGAACCAAGAACCUUCUGUUUCUCUAACCCAGUCCUCUCCAGAUUAGCUACCACCACCUCCGCUAACACUGUUAGCAUUAAAUACCCUAUUUUACCCAAACACUGAGGCGGUUAUCAGGGAUUUUACCGUAAACGCAGCAGUUGUUUUACACAAUAAUUGCUUAAG
Molecule: long non-coding RNA, 1251 nt
Filed under: Takifugu rubripes (torafugu)
Lineage: Eukaryota; Metazoa; Chordata; Actinopteri; Tetraodontiformes; Tetraodontidae
Description: lncRNA (ENSTRUG00000030749.1)
Source: RNAcentral